This 536-nucleotide long non-coding RNA is filed under the name Brassica napus (rape). Its description in RNAcentral is "long non-coding RNA (BNAP_LNC019575)". Lineage: Eukaryota; Viridiplantae; Streptophyta; Magnoliopsida; Brassicales; Brassicaceae. The record is from RNAcentral.
UUUGUAAAAUCCAAAAAAUCGAAUUUAUAUACAAAAAUUUUUUUGUAAAAUCCAAAAAAUCGAAUUUAUAUAGAAAAAUCGUUUUGUAAAAUACAAAAAUCGAUUUUAUAUACUAAAAUCGAUUUUCUAAAUACAAAAAAAUAAAAAAAUAAUAAAAAAAUUAUAAAUCAAUUCAACAAAACAAAUUAUUCAACUAAAUCACAAUUCUAAACCUAUUAUACAACCAAAAAUCACAAUCCUAACCAAUCACCUUAACAAAAAUCUAUCAAAACUCCACAAAAACCUAACAAAUAGAAUCUAAGAGAGUGGGAUAGGGUCCUUACAUGAUUUGUGUAAGAAAAGGGGGAGAUCGCCGGAGAUAUCGUCGGAUUUCAGGGGGAAAUCGCCGGAAAAAAAGAGAGGAAUCGCGCAGAGGAAGAAGAGAGAAAUGGGGAAGAAGAAGUGGCUCGUGGUUAUAAAACCUAGGGUCCGACGGACAUUUUCCGUCGGAAUUCCGUCGGAAUUUAAAUUUCAAUUUUCGCGAAAUAUUUGCCCGG